AACCAUAAACGAUCGUUUUGUCUGUGGAGUCAUGUAGUGUUUGCACGAGCCUAAUUCGGACUUGGCAACCCCGUCGGCCUAUCUGUCACUCAAGAUGUCGGAAAGGAAGGGAGAUCUUCUUUUUGUUCGAUUCGAGCCGGGAUCGGCUAUACCCUUUGAGAUCGGGCUCCAUCGCCCAUUUGACCCCGGCAUAACAUGCUAACCUUAAAUUUGUUGCUGCGUUGAAGAGCGAUACAUCGCGUGCCCCGGGUGUUGACAUAAGCUGCAUAAUUUCCAUGCAAGCCUUUUAUCCACAAACGGGGUUCAUGGCGGGGCGC
Long non-coding RNA from Cydia pomonella (codling moth), 317 nucleotides. RefSeq lists it as uncharacterized. The record is from RefSeq and is a predicted model, not a curated record. The transcript is spliced from 3 exons. Lineage: Eukaryota; Metazoa; Arthropoda; Insecta; Lepidoptera; Tortricidae.